RNAcentral lists this unclassified non-coding RNA (1531 nucleotides) under Desmonostoc sp. PC6A. RNAcentral describes it as "bacterial SSU rRNA". The stretch from base 1 to 1164 matches the Rfam family "Bacterial small subunit ribosomal RNA", at positions 356 to 1533 of the family's 1533-position model. The record is from RNAcentral. Lineage: Bacteria; Bacillati; Cyanobacteriota; Cyanophyceae; Nostocales; Nostocaceae.
GGGGAAUUUUCCGCAAUGGGCGAAAGCCUGACGGAGCAAUACCGCGUGAGGGAGGAAGGCUCUUGGGUUGUAAACCUCUUUUCUCAGGGAAGAACACAAUGACGGUACCUGAGGAAUCAGCAUCGGCUAACUCCGUGCCAGCAGCCGCGGUAAUACGGAGGAUGCAAGCGUUAUCCGGAAUGAUUGGGCGUAAAGCGUCCGCAGGUGGCUGUGUAAGUCUGCUGUCAAAGAGCGAAGCUCAACUUCGUAAAGGCAGUGGAAACUACACGGCUAGAGUGCGUUCGGGGCAGAGGGAAUUCCUGGUGUAGCGGUGAAAUGCGUAGAGAUCAGGAAGAACACCGGUGGCGAAGGCGCUCUGCUAGGCCGCAACUGACACUGAGGGACGAAAGCUAGGGGAGCGAAUGGGAUUAGAUACCCCAGUAGUCCUAGCCGUAAACGAUGGAUACUAGGCGUGGCUUGUAUCGACCCGAGCCGUGCCGUAGCUAACGCGUUAAGUAUCCCGCCUGGGGAGUACGCACGCAAGUGUGAAACUCAAAGGAAUUGACGGGGGCCCGCACAAGCGGUGGAGUAUGUGGUUUAAUUCGAUGCAACGCGAAGAACCUUACCAAGGCUUGACAUGUCGCGAACCCCACUGAAAGGUGGGAGUGCCUUCGGGAGCGCGAACACAGGUGGUGCAUGGCUGUCGUCAGCUCGUGUCGUGAGAUGUUGGGUUAAGUCCCGCAACGAGCGCAACCCUCGUUUUUAGUUGCCAGCAUUAAGUUGGGCACUCUAGAGAGACUGCCGGUGACAAACCGGAGGAAGGUGGGGAUGACGUCAAGUCAGCAUGCCCCUUACGCCUUGGGCUACACACGUACUACAAUGCUACGGACAGAGGGCAGCAAGCUAGCGAUAGCAAGCUAAUCCCAUAAACCGUGGCUCAGUUCAGAUCGAAGGCUGCAACUCGCCUUCGUGAAGGAGGAAUCGCUAGUAAUUGCAGGUCAGCAUACUGCAGUGAAUUCGUUCCCGGGCCUUGUACACACCGCCCGUCACACCAUGGAAGCUGGCAACGCCCGAAGUCAUUACUCCAACUCUUCGGAGAGGAGGAUGCCUAAGGCAGUGCUGGUGACUGGGGUGAAGUCGUAACAAGGUAGCCGUACCGGAAGGUGUGGCUGGAUCACCUCCUUUAUAGGGAGACCUACACCCCUCAAAUAUUGAAAGCAAAGUGCAAAUAAAUAUUGAGAUGGUCAAACCUAGGUCGGUCGAGGUUGGUAAAUAGCUUUCAAAGUAUUAGUGGUUCAGUACACAUGUUUAGUUAAAAACUAAGAAGAAUUCAGCAACAUGGCUAUUGCCAGACUGCUGGGUAUUAUAUCCAGCCAGAACCUUGAAAACUGCAUAGGAAUGCGAAAUAUUGCAGGCAGACACAGGCAGAGGCAGUUUUUCAUGGGGGAAACCCCAUGAGAAACUGCCGAAUUGAAAGUGUUUGCGAAUGUAAGCCGAAAAGUAUAGUGGUCAAGCUAAUAAGGGCUGACGGUGGAUACCUAGGCACACAGAG